UCGCAGGCUGCAACCCGCCUGCGUGAAGUCGGAAUCGCUAGUAAUCGCGGAUCAGCAUGCCGCGGUGAAUACGUUCCCGGGCCUUGUACACACCGCCCGUCACACCAUGAGAGUCGGGAACACCCGAAGCCCGUAGCCUAACUUUAACGAGAGGGCGCGGUCGAAGGUGGGUUCGAUAAUUGGGGUGAAGUCGUAACAAGGUAAC
Molecule: ribosomal RNA, 205 nt
Filed under: uncultured bacterium
Lineage: Bacteria
Description: partial 16S ribosomal RNA
Rfam family: Bacterial small subunit ribosomal RNA
Source: RNAcentral